This 62-nucleotide transfer RNA is filed under the name Neoverruca intermedia. RNAcentral describes it as "tRNA-Ala". The record is from RNAcentral. Lineage: Eukaryota; Metazoa; Arthropoda; Thecostraca; Neoverrucidae.
AGAGUAGAAGUUUACAAAUAUUUGACCUGCAUUCAAAAGAAGGCUAAUUAAGCCCUACUUUA